AUACGUAGGUGGCAAGCGUUGCCCGGAUUUACUGGGUGUAAAGGGCGUGUAGGCGGAGAUGCAAGUCAGGAGUGAAAUCUAGGGGCUCAACCCCUAAACUGCUUUUGAAACUGUAUCCCUUGAGUAUCGGAGAGGCAGGCGGAAUUCCUAGUGUAGCGGUGAAAUGCGUAGAUAUUAGGAGGAACACCAGUGGCGAAGGCGGCCUGCUGGACGACAACUGACGCUGAGGCGCGAAAGCGUGGGGAGCAAACAGGAUUAGAUACCCUGGUAGUCCACGUUGUAAACGAUGAAUACUAGGUGUGGGGGGACUGACCCCCUCCGUGCCGCAGUUAACACAAUAAGUAUUCCGCCUGGGGAGUACGGCCGCAAGGUUGAAACUCAAAUGAAUUGACGGGG
RNAcentral lists this ribosomal RNA (396 nucleotides) under uncultured bacterium. RNAcentral describes it as "partial 16S ribosomal RNA". It matches the Rfam family "Bacterial small subunit ribosomal RNA", at positions 523 to 918 of the family's 1533-position model. The record is from RNAcentral.